RNAcentral lists this ribosomal RNA (435 nucleotides) under uncultured bacterium. RNAcentral's name for it is "partial 16S ribosomal RNA". It matches the Rfam family "Bacterial small subunit ribosomal RNA", at positions 28 to 507 of the family's 1533-position model. The record is from RNAcentral.
GAUGAACGCUGGCGGUAUGCUUAACACAUGCAAGUCGAACGGACUCUUCGGAGUUAGUGGCGGACGGGUGAGUAACGCGUGAGAAUCUGGCUUUGGGUUCGGGACAACCACUGGAAACGGUGGCUAAUACCGGAUGUGCCGAGAGGUAAAAGAGAAAUUGCCUGAAGAUGAGCUCGCGUCUGAUUAGCUAGUUGGUGAGGUAAAGGCUCACCAAGGCAGCGAUCAGUAGCUGGUCUGAGAGGAUGACCAGCCACACUGGGACUGAGACACGGCCCAGACUCCUACGGGAGGCAGCAGUGGGGAAUUAUCCGCAAUGGGCGAAAGCCUGACGGAGCAAUACCGCGUGAGGGAAGAAGGCUCUUGGGUUGUAAACCUCUUUUCUUAGGGAAGAACAAAAUGACGGUACCUAAGGAAUCAGCAUCGGCUAACUCCGUG